UUUAUACUUUGUGAUCAUAGAGGCUCUGGAGAAACAGGAAUUUCCCUCCUCUCCUUCCUCAACCCGAGUUGUUGAACUUCAUGUCCUUCUCCUCAGCAUUUCAGUUUUGGAUUGGCCCUGUGCUGGCUGACUAAGCAAGUCAAAAGGUGUUUAUUGCUGCUCGCUGGAAAUACUUUGUGUGGAAGGUACAUAUUUGAAAAGCAAGGAGUAAAACUACCUCAGAGCACAAACUAUGAAUAAGGCCAGAUUCUGACUCAUUUUCUAAUGUUGAAAAGCCUUUACUCUUUGGACUUCAAUAGGACUUCUUCCUUGAGUAAGCAUUACUCAUGGUGAUUAAAGGCUCCAUUUUCCUCCCUUGUGUUAUGUAAUUAAACUAUGCAAAUAAUUCAGCUAUCCAAGACAAUGCAGAUUGUGAAUGGAAUAGUCAAUUGUACAUUUCACAACUUUAGUACCUUCAGAAGACAUAGCUUAUUUGCUGAAGAAAUAAAUGGAACAAUUUGAAAUAAUGAAUACAUUUAGGACUCUAGGACUCUGACAAUUUCUUUGUGAACAUUAAUGGAUAAUUGGUUAUGAAUAAGUUAUUUUCCUAUUUCCAGGACAGCCCUUCAUCCCUUCUUCAAUCUCUGUAGCUUGUGGGCCUUGCAUAAAGGGGUUAUAAGCUACCUGCUGCAGAGUCCUUCCCUCAGUAAAUCAAAGCUUUGCUCUUCCCUGCUCCCUUUUCACAGACAGAUGAUUCCAGCCUCUUUUACUUAAAUGCUUGUCCAUAGCACUUUGAGCACUGUUUACACCCUCCUGAGGGGUUGCUUUCCUUCAGUCAGUGACAGUCACGUGUGCCAGCUGGGCACUGGGUAUCCUGCUCAUUACUGGCUGCUCAGAGUUGUGUUAACCAGCCAGGACUAGAAGAGAAGAAUUAAAAUUUACUGAAUCCUGUUCCUGUUUCCUGCAAUAUUUUCUCCAAGCAAAUGAUUGUCUGAUAGCAGCUCAAUAAAGUGCAUGAUUUUGGUUUUUGUGGUAAUCUGAUGUAGUAACUGGGGGUGGGAGAUAGAAAGCAUAAAGGUACAAAUAUGCUUUUUCUUUAAAUACUUCUUUGAGAAAACUUGUGUGGUCAGUAGAGCUUUGAAAUGACUCAGAAAGAGCAGGGAAGUUGAUAGAAGGAUUCAUAUUGACUUUACUGGGAUUUGGAUCAGACCUGCCAAUGUGAAUCAAGAAUUUAUGGGAGCCUGAGUAGCAGUGUGCAGGAAUUUAGUGCAGAUCCUUUCAGAUUUCUGGGUUAAUCAACUGGGCAGUUCAUUGUCUUGAGUAAUGCUCAGGGCUGGACAGAAGUUGUGAGUUUCUCACACAUCUUCCUUGGCUGCCAGGCAGACUUCCACCCCGUCCUCAAGGCCUUUCCUCUUGGGCAGCACCAAAUUCCCUGAGGGCCAGGUAGCCCCACAGCCCUGCUGCCAGCUCCCCACCUCAGUGCAACUUAAAAACGUGGAAAGAGAUGGCCCCUAAUAUUUCAUUUUAGAAGCUGAAGCUACUGUGACACAGGACCCACUGAAGUCGCACUGAUCUCUUUCCAAAUGUGUUUGAUGUGCUUGUUCCAGACCCUGGCUGAUGAACUGCUUCCAUAUUCCUGGAAUUUGAGGGCAGAGCUGUUCGUUUAGCGAUGACUCAGUGUUUUGCUAAGCAGAAUUCUGUGUUGCUCCUCCACUUCCUGCUGAAGAGCAAAUAAAGAGGAAUUUUCUCACAGACUGCAUUCAAACACAAACAGUUUGUGAGCCAGAAGAGUUUAAUACCUGAGGAAUUCUAAUCUGCAUAUUUGCACUUUGAAUCAGCAGCAGACUUUGCUGGCCAGAGUCAACUUGUCAGAAGCAGGAAUGUUUAUUGGUUUUGGCUGCUAAGCCUGUGGAUAUCUGGAAGGGCAG
Long non-coding RNA from Cyanistes caeruleus (blue tit), 1907 nucleotides. RefSeq lists it as uncharacterized. The record is from RefSeq and is a predicted model, not a curated record. Lineage: Eukaryota; Metazoa; Chordata; Aves; Passeriformes; Paridae.